This is a long non-coding RNA of Dreissena polymorpha, 1475 nucleotides long. RefSeq lists it as uncharacterized. The record is from RefSeq and is a predicted model, not a curated record. Lineage: Eukaryota; Metazoa; Mollusca; Bivalvia; Myida; Dreissenidae. The transcript is spliced from 5 exons.
GUAAAACGCGCUACCGAUUAUCUUAAAUAAAACUUCCCUUUUUAAAAAGAGAUUAAGUAUAUUUAUCGUACCCGGGGUACAUGUAAGUAUACUUAAGAGUACCCGGGGUACAUGUAAGUAGUACCCGAGCCGACAAUGACCAAUCGAGCCUGUCCGUGCAUUUGGAUAAGGACAGGAACACUACAUAGGCUCCGAUACACCAUGGCCAACCGCUGAAGGUCACCUAUACCAGACUGAAGUAUAGACCGUCAUCUCUGCCAUUGCUGUUAAUACAAAGAUAAGUGAUAUCAUUUUUAAAGGUCAAAUAUGACGUUAAACAGGUGUGCUUAAAGAGAUAAUUGUGAUGUGCGCUUGUUGUUGACUUCCUUUGGUAAGCAUUACUGCUGUUGGUAUGCAGACAGACAACACUGUCCAUUCGACUCGAUUUAUAGAGCUAGGACGUUUUAACAUUGUUGGCGCUCAAACUCGGGCAAGGCUCCUCAGUUUACAUCGAGGGACACACUUUUUUGCCCGCAAGCGUAAACACACUGACGUGGGUCGAUGGUGCGAAAGCGAGUUCGAGUCAGCGUAAACAGUGUUAAAACGCCUUAGCUCUGAAAAUCAAGUCUAAUCGAUGGCAUGUUCGCUCUGUUUUCCAACAGGAAUACUGUUUACCAAAGGCAGUAAGCAAGGUCUUGCAUCAUCUUAUCUUUUUUUUCAGUGCUGCAUUAUAACGUAAACUCUGACCUUUUGUUGAAAAUGGACGUAUUCUAAUUUACCUAUAUACGCUUAUACGUGUUUGUGUUACAUGUGUAUUUAUAUGCAACUAAUUUGGGAAAAAAUAUAGCACAUGUUCAUUUGGAAAAAUUUACAAUUUAAUCAAUAUAUUUGGACAAAAAAUAUUGGCGACGUAUUCUUUGUCUGUAUCCAAUAUACGUCGUGUUGGUAUCUCUAACAUAUGUUUGUUUAACAGCUGUCCGUGCAUUGUGAUAAGGGUAGGAACUCUACAUGGGCUUCGAUACACCAUGGCCAACCGCUGAAGGUCACCUAUACCAGACUGAAUUUCCACGGCAACAAGGCCUGUCACCAAUGCACUUGCACUUGACUCCUUGCGCAGGAAGUGAUGUAAUAUUGCGGCCAUCACAGAAUAAGUCUGUGAGAGCCUGUGCCAGCAUUCUCCAGUCGUUGCCACGUGCGCACGGCGUGUCAAGAAGCGCGCAGACCUGUUGGCGUAUAUGAGAGGGCAGUCGGGAGGGCUGAGAGCUGUCCACUGCAACCACGGAACUCACACCGGAACUCGAGUUAGUCGCCGAGGUAACGGUUGAGGCUCGACCCUUCAACGUGUUACCUAGGGGACUCGAGCAUAUUGGGGGCUGAAAAGCGUAUCGCCUCCUGCACACACUCCACCAUCUCCAGGCUAAACGAGCAGUGCAGGUUGUUCUGGUUCCCGCUCCAGAUGUGCCGGAAUGGAAUCUCCUGGGAACCAGCAAAACAGG